Molecule: long non-coding RNA, 619 nt
Filed under: Physcomitrium patens
Lineage: Eukaryota; Viridiplantae; Streptophyta; Bryopsida; Funariales; Funariaceae
Description: long non-coding RNA (PPAT_LNC011552)
Source: RNAcentral
UUAGGAUUUAGGAUUUGAUUAAGGUUUGAUUUAGGAUUAGACUUUGAUUAGGAGUUGAUUUAGGAUUUAGAAUUUGAUUAGGAGUUGAGUUAGAGUUUAGGAUUUACUUAGUGUUUGAUUUAGGAUUAGGAUUUAGGAUUUGAUUAGGAUUUGAUUUAGAGUUUAGGAUUUUAUUAGGAUUUAUUUAUGAUUUUUUUAAGAUUUAAGAUUUAGUUAGUUUUUGGCCUAAAUUUUGAUUGAAGUCCAAUAGGAUUUUAACUAGGAUUAAAUUAAGAUUAGAUUGAGAUUUAUUUGAGAUAUAUUUGUGAACAUUCUAAUAUUUUUUUAAGAUUUCAUAUUUUUUCUUUGUAAUUCUUUUAAGGUUUCUUUGAAUUUGAUUAAAGCUUACUUAGUAUUAAUGGUAUUCUAUUAGAGUUAAGAUUUUAUUAUUGCAAUUUCUAUUCUACCUUGCAAAGCCAAGUAUCUAGAGUAAUCUUAAGCAAGACUUCACAUAUUACAACAAUGGUUGAUCCUUGGAUAUCAAUCUAAUUUAUUCUUGGAAUUUUUUUAUCCAAUCCUAUUUUUAACUUAAUCUUAGUAUCAACCAUGCUAAUUAUUUACUUCUUUUAAUCUGAUUUUA